This 69-nucleotide transfer RNA is filed under the name Ictidomys tridecemlineatus (thirteen-lined ground squirrel). Its description in RNAcentral is "Spermophilus tridecemlineatus (thirteen-lined ground squirrel) tRNA". It matches the Rfam family "tRNA". From Rfam's summary of the family: Transfer RNA (tRNA) molecules are approximately 80 nucleotides in length. Their secondary structure includes four short double-helical elements and three loops (D, anti-codon, and T loops). The record is from Rfam by way of RNAcentral. Lineage: Eukaryota; Metazoa; Chordata; Mammalia; Rodentia; Sciuridae.
GGGGUUGUAGCUUAGUAGUAGAGCGCUCACCUAGUAUGUGUGAAACCCUGGGUUUGAUCCUCAGCACCA